AGGCUUGACGGUGCUUAUGCUUAGACAU
This 28-nucleotide non-coding RNA is filed under the name Mus musculus (house mouse). The record is from RNAcentral. Lineage: Eukaryota; Metazoa; Chordata; Mammalia; Rodentia; Muridae.